GCUCAUUAAAGCUUUAUAGGGGUAGUGCCAAUAGAGAACUUUAGGUCUGGGGAAGAAUCAUUAGUAAAGAUCGACCGUGUGCUCUGGGUGCCUUUAGGCAGCCACUGUUUCCAUUGGUGUUUAAUAUUUAUUGCUUUCUCAUAAUCUUCCAGCUGCUAUCUUGUCACUGUUAGGAAGACUGGGGAAAAUGUCCUAUGGAUAUUUAUUUUCUACCACAUAUUUAGUAUAUCACUUGAAAGUUUGAGUUCUGUGUUUCUUAUAUAACUUAUGAAUAAUAAAAUAAAAAUCAUCACUAUUGCUUUCAG
This 305-nucleotide long non-coding RNA is filed under the name Homo sapiens (human). Its description in RNAcentral is "HSALNT0038246". Lineage: Eukaryota; Metazoa; Chordata; Mammalia; Primates; Hominidae. The record is from RNAcentral.